UUACAUGCGAUGAAGAGAACAGUAGAUAACCAGAAACUUCAACAGAGAGCUCCGGACGGUGAAAAGGAGCAGGUGGAAGGUUAUUGAAGCAAGCCUCAGAGCAUUCUGCCGGAUCAGUGUGAUGGCAGAACGGACGCCUCCGUUAACAGGCUUGGGUAUAGAUCUUGUACCUGAAAAGGCUAAUAUGGUGACAUAUUGGCAAACUGAGGUGGCACCGCGACGGAAUCUCGCCCUCAGG
Molecule: non-coding RNA, 238 nt
Filed under: Jeotgalibacillus malaysiensis
Lineage: Bacteria; Bacillati; Bacillota; Bacilli; Caryophanales; Caryophanaceae
Description: T-box sequence
Rfam family: T-box leader
About the family: Uncharged tRNA acts as the effector for transcription antitermination of genes in the T-box leader family. T-boxes are found upstream of many aminoacyl-tRNA synthetase genes and some amino acid biosynthetic genes usually in Gram-positive bacteria.
Source: RNAcentral